GUGAAAUUGUUGAAAGGGAAGCGCUUGCAACCAGACCUGCCUGCAGUUGCUCAUCCGGGCUUUUGCCCGGUGCACUCUUCUGCUGUCAGGCCAGCAUCAGUUCGGGCGGUCGGAUAAAGGCUUCGGGAAUGUAGCUCCUCUCGAGGAGUGUUAUAGCCCGUUGCGAAAUGCGGCCAGCCUGAACUGAGGUCCGCGCUUCGGCUAGGAUGCUGGCGUAAUGGUUGUAAGCGGCCCGUCUUGAAACACGGACCAAGGAGUCUAACAUCUGUGCGAGUGUUUGGGUGUCAAACCCGUACGCGUAAUGAAAGUGAACGGAGGCGGGAACCCCUCGGGGUGCACCGUCGACCGAUCCUGAUGUCUUCGGAUGGAUUUGAGUAAGAGCAUAGCUGUUGGGACCCGAAAGAUGGUGAACUAUGCCUGAAUAGGGUGAAGCCAGAGGAAACUCUGGUGGAGGCUCGCAGCGGUUCUGACGUGCAAAUCGAUCGUCAAAUUUGGGCAUAGGGGCGAAAGACUAAUCGAACUAUCUAGUAGCUGGUUCCUGCCGAAGUUUCCCUCAGGAUAGCAGUAACGUUUUCAGUUUUAUGAGGUAAAGCGAAUGAUUAGAGGCCUGGGGGUUGAAACAACCUUCACCUAUUCUCAAACUUUAAAUAUGUAAGAAGUCCUUGUUGCUUAGUUGAACGUGGACAUUUGAAUGUAUCGUUACUAGUGGGCCAUUUUUGGUAAGCAGAACUGGCGAUGCGGGAUGAACCGAACGCGGAGUUAAGGUGCCGGAAUGCACGCUCAUCAGACACCACAAAA
This 798-nucleotide ribosomal RNA is filed under the name uncultured Ascomycota. RNAcentral describes it as "LSU rRNA". It matches the Rfam family "Eukaryotic large subunit ribosomal RNA", at positions 399 to 1219 of the family's 3401-position model. Lineage: Eukaryota; Fungi; Ascomycota. The record is from RNAcentral.